This 253-nucleotide ribosomal RNA is filed under the name uncultured bacterium. RNAcentral describes it as "partial 16S ribosomal RNA". It matches the Rfam family "Bacterial small subunit ribosomal RNA", at positions 524 to 776 of the family's 1533-position model. The record is from RNAcentral.
UACGUAGGGGGCAAGCGUUGUCCGGAAUCAUUGGGCGUAAAGCGCGUGUAGGCGGCCCAGUAAGUCCGCUGUGAAAGCCCAGGGCUCAACCCUGGGAUGCCGGUGGAUACUGUUGGGCUCGAGUCCGGAAGAGGCGAGUGGAAUUCCCGGUGUAGCGGUGAAAUGCGCAGAUAUCAGGAAGAACACCCGUGGCGAAAGCGGCUCUCUGGAACGGUACUGACGCUGAGACGCGAAAGCGUGGGGAGCGAACAGG